This 28-nucleotide non-coding RNA is filed under the name Homo sapiens (human). Lineage: Eukaryota; Metazoa; Chordata; Mammalia; Primates; Hominidae. The record is from RNAcentral.
UCCUGUGUGUCUGGGAGAGCCAACUUGG